This 253-nucleotide ribosomal RNA is filed under the name uncultured bacterium. RNAcentral's name for it is "partial 16S ribosomal RNA". It matches the Rfam family "Bacterial small subunit ribosomal RNA", at positions 524 to 776 of the family's 1533-position model. The record is from RNAcentral.
UACAGAGGGUGCAAACGUUGCUCGGAAUUAUUGGGCGUAAAGCGCGUGUAGGCGGCUUGUUAAGUUGGUUGUGAAAACCCAUGGCUCAACCAUGGAAGGGCGUCCAAAACUGGCAAGCUAGAGUCCCGACGAGGAUGGCGGAAUUCCCAGUGUAGAGGUGAAAUUCGUAGAUAUUGGGAGGAACACCGGUGGCGAAGGCGGCUCUCUGGACCGAUACUGACGCUGAGGCGCGAAAGCGUGGGGAGCAAACAGG